Molecule: ribosomal RNA, 253 nt
Filed under: uncultured bacterium
Lineage: Bacteria
Description: partial 16S ribosomal RNA
Rfam family: Bacterial small subunit ribosomal RNA
Source: RNAcentral
UACGGAGGGGACUAGCGUUGUUCGGAAUUACUGGGCGUAAAGCGCACGUAGGCGGAUCUGUAAGUCAGGGGUGAAAUCCCGGGGCUCAACCUCGGAACUGCCUUUGAUACUGCAAAUCUCGAGUCCGGAAGAGGUGAGUGGAAUUCCUAGUGUAGAGGUGAAAUUCGUAGAUAUUAGGAAGAACACCAGUGGCGAUGGCGGCUCACUGGUCCGGUACUGACGCUGAGGUGCGAAAGCGCGGGGAGCAAACAGG